RNAcentral lists this long non-coding RNA (6146 nucleotides) under Mytilus galloprovincialis (Mediterranean mussel). Lineage: Eukaryota; Metazoa; Mollusca; Bivalvia; Mytilida; Mytilidae. The record is from RNAcentral.
UUAAUGCCUGUGUAUUGAUUAACUGUUUUCUCGGUCAGGACAGUUGAUUGAUUUGAAAUUAACAGUGAAACCAACAAGGGAUGCUGGGUAUGAUUAUUUUGAUAUCCCUAAUAAUGGAUUGACCUAAUAAUUCAUCUGCAGGUUAGACGGAUUAACGGGAGAUUAAAAGGUAAGUUUAGUUACGUCAUCCUGGAAUAUUGGUUGACAUAUAUAUUGGAAUGUGAACUACAGGUUUAAUUACUAAAUCGAUCUCUUUAAUUACAGAAUUUGUAGCAGAAAAGUAUAAUCAAUAUUCGUCUUCUGUUAUUUUACACAAUGAUAUGGUUUGUUUGUAAAUUUGACAUUUACUAUGCACCUUUGUUAUGCCUGUAACCAUACCAAGAUAAGGGAAAACCAAACGGUAAAAUGCAUGACACAAAGUGGAAAAAAAGGGGGGGGGAUAAUUGCAGGAUAUCAUCCCAUGCAACUUGAAGUAAAGUUGACAUUUACUACUACUCUGUGCCUUUGUUAUGCCUGUAGUAUCGAAAUCAUGAGGGGACCCAAACGGUAAGAUGACAUAAAGGAAAUUAAAUACUCUGUGCCUUAUAGCCGAUGAUAUACAUGACGAGAAAAGGGGUGAUAUACAUGACAUACAGGAAAAAAAGGGGGGAUAAUUACCGGAUAUCAUCCCAUGCAACUUGAAGUAAAUUUGACAUUUACUAUAUAUCUUUGUAAUGCCAGUUAUCGUAUCAAGAAAGAAAAAAACCAACCGACAAAAGGGAAAAGAGGAUCAUAGAGAUAAUUGUCGGAUAUCAUUUCUGAUUUUGGAAGUGACAUUUACAUUGCUAAUUUAAAUGCUUAUAACCGUACCAGCGGAGAAAAACUAACCGUGGUGACAUGACUAAAGGGGGGGGGAGGGGUGUCAUUGUUGGAUAUCCUCAGCUUAAACUUAAACCGUAUCGACCUGUUCAUCUUCAUUAUAACAUGUUACUUGCUGUAUGUAACUGUCAUUGUACAUCUUAAUGUCAAGGGUUGGUUUUGCAGUUUUUACUGAAUAAUCACCAUGGCUUAAUUUAAUCAUGUUUAACAUGUUUUCGGACACCGACUGUCCGAACUCUCAAAGCAUUCGUAUUUUUUUUUUAUAUAAUUUUGAUUUAUAGUAAAAAACAAAGGAUAUGGGGUAUUCAUCCAUGAGAAAAAAACAUCAGUACAUGCACAUAAAAAAUCACACAAUAAGCAAAAAAUAGCGCAUUUAUUGCUGUUAUUCAUAUCAAAGUCACAGUAAAGAUUUCUAUACGGAGCAAAACAACUGACAUCACUGCACGUUUUAAACGGCAUCUGUAAUCCGCUCCAGGGAAACUACAGGUUGUCAUACGAUAGUGGUACCUUUUCUUAGAUAUUUACCCUUUGUAUGAACAUUGAGUUUAUCGAAUAAUAUAGGUAGGUACAUUAAAAAAUGAUAUCAUCAUAAAAUAUGUAGAACUGAAGAUGACAGGAACAAAACUUUUUGGCGACGUAAUUUCAUGAAAAGACAUAGCUUUAAAAUUAAAGAUAUGUGAAGAUUCUUUCCAUCUUAGACAUUGUCAUUGUUUAUUCAAUACAAGUCGUCACACUCUUUUGACUGACUGUCAGUCACAAAGGAAAUACGCCACUUACAUUACAUUACUCGUUCUAAUGAAAGCACUUUUAAUUUAAAUUUUGAAAUUAUAAAUUUUACUAAUGAAUAAACUAGUGAUUCACUUUUGUCAUGAUAACAGGCUGACUUUCAUUGUCAAAUGUUAAUCUGAAUACGGAGUCUGUCUUAGUAUGCUUGUUUUGUAGGGGGAGCGUCCGACCCCCUGAACACGGGUGUUGGUCAAGUUAUCCUAAGAUUGUUUUGGCUUAGUCGCUUUUUUUCUCUUGUUAUAAUCUAUAUUUCAUUUGCAUCAAUAAACUUAUGGUCUAUGGAGUUUUACCUGUAUUUUAGUAUAACAUUUUGCUUCGUACAUUUUUUUUUGACAAAUGCUUUGAGAUGAGACACGUGUUCGCCUGUUUGAGUAUUGUACUGUUAUCUCAAUAUUUCUUUUAUGUUUUAUUUAAACCAAUAACGUAAAUUGUCACAUCUAGUGAACUAUCGGUUCCCGAUUGUACGAGCUGCCUAGCUGCAAGCGUUUUGAUACUGACAUUAUUAAUCAAUACAUUAUUUUUGUAAAUCAAAACUUAGGCUUGCACCCUCAGAAUAUUUUGAUUUGUCUUUUCAGUUUUUUUAGUUUUGAUGCCCCGUUGUUGCUUUACAUAUAUGCAUGGUAUCAGAAACAUUUGAACCUGAGCGUACCUGCUGGAGGCCUAUCAAAAACACUUUUUUGCGCUUAUUAUGGCGCUCUGAUAUGGUAUCAUUCUGUACCUGGCGUAACGCUGACCAUCUACCCAGUAGCAAGUGCUUUGUGCAAAUUUGAGCAUUUAUAUUAUACAAGAAAAAUAAAAGGAUAUAGGGUAUCUAUAUCUAUCCAGGACACAAUACAGUACAUCCACUACAACUACAAACCAAAAAGAAAAACACACAAAAAGCAAAGGAACAGCGCUUUUACUGCUGUUCUUCAUCUUAAAGACAUAGCGAGUACAUACAUGUAUUGAACAAUCUUAGGCUGAUACAUGUUUAAGUCUUAAGAAAAACUAUCUUUGGCUAUAUUGGAAAUUAAAUUGACUCAUUUUUUGUUUUAGUUAUACGAAACAUAACCUUUUGCAUUAAUAAUUCCAAUAAAAAGAAGUAAUUUAUAUACUUAAGAUUAAGAUUAAUCAAUUACACUAUCAUAACUCAUUCGAGUAUAUAAAAAAUUCUACUUGUGAUGUCAUGUCUUGAAACGAGUUUAUACAUACACGACCACGACCGUAAUAAACCUUUUUGUUGCUAUUACAUUCACCAAAAGAGGAACAUAAAACCAUGAAAUUAUUUUAAAAAUUAACAAUAGUAUACUCAUAGUCAUAUAAAUAGUUUAAUUACAAAUUCUACCAUACAAUAGAAAAUCUUUCAAAAAUGACUUCUUACUAUUAAAAUAAUAAAAUAUAAAUGAACCAAUCCUAAAACCUAUUUAUUUCGAUUUUAGACCUUCAAUUUGUUUGCUUCAUUUGAUUAUAAAUACCUGCAACAAAAUUCACAACAAAAGUGAAACAUAAUAUACUCAAACGAACUGAACGGAACAUAAAGUCGUAUGCUAUGCAUGUUAACGUCAAUAAACAGUACAUCGAUACCAAUGAUAUCUUAUCUUUCAUUCGUGUUAAAACUGCUUUGAGAAUAGAGAAUUACAUGCUUUUAUUGAAACGACUAAGAUUACAUAUUUAAUUCAUAAUGUUUCUAUAUAUAGUUAUUGUGACAGGAAAAAGAUGACAACAAUGUUCACUCGAGCUGCUGCAUGUAAUUAAAAAAAAUGCUGUAAAAAGAUACGAAAUACUGUAAUAAUUAACUUAAGUUUUAAAUAUGCGUCUGUCACAUUUGUGAAUUAAUUAAACAGAAUGAAUGCAUUUAAAAGUCCUUCCAGUCUGAGUAAAGAUGCAAAUUCCAAAUUAAAAAAAACAAGAGGUUCGAAAAAAUUCUAAGGGACAGUCAUGCUCAUGUGUCGAAAAUAAACAGACAACGCCAUGGCUAAAACAAGAAAAAGACCAAUUAUAGACGAACAAUAGUACACAAAACACAACAUAGAAAACUAAAGACUGAGCAACACGAACCCCACCAAAAAUGAAAGUGGUAUUCAGGUGCUCCAGAAGGAUAAGCAGAUCCUGCUCCUCAUGUGGCAUUUGUCGUUAAUACAUUACUUCAUUGUUCUGCUAAUUCAGAAUGAGGAGAUACGGUAUGAUUACCAAUGAAACAACAAUUCACCGGCUGUUUCUCCUCUUUUGUCGGGUUGUUGUCUCUUUGACACAUUUCAUAUUUUCAUUUUCAAUUGUAUACGGUAUAUGUUGCAUACAUGUUUACGCUUAUGGCUGAACUGAGUAAAAAGAGACCACUAGUGACUUAUCCUCCAGAAGCACCUUACAUUUUGAUUAACCAGAGUUUGGGUUGGGUUCGCUCAUUCUUAAGUUUUUACUUGGUUUUACUUGUGUGUUGCCUGUGUUAUCCACAUAUUAGAUUUUAGACUUAAGUUUUUACUUGUUACUUGUGUGUUUACUUGGUUUUACUUGUGUGUUGCCUGUGUUAUCCACAUAUUAGAUUUUAGACUUAAAUUUUGACUUGGUUUUACUUGUGUGUUGCCUGUGUUAUCCACACAUUAGUUUAGACUUAAUUUUUACUUUUUACUGUGUGUGCCUGCGUUAUCAGCAUAUUAGUUGUUAGCUUAAGCUUUUACUUGGUUUUACUUGUUGUGUCUGCCGUGUUAUCCACAUAUUAGAUUUAGACUAAUUUUGACUGUUUACUUGUGUGUGCCUGUUUAUCCACACAUUAGAUUUUAGACUUAAAGUUUUACGUGUGUACUUGGUUUCCUGUGUUAUCCACAUAUUAGAUUUUAGACUUAAGUUUUGACUUGGUUUUACUUGUGUGUUGCCUGUGUUAUCCACACAUUAGAUUUUAGACUUAAGUUUUUACUUGUUUUUACUUGUGUGUUGCCUGCGUUAUCCACAUAUUAGAUUUUAGACUUAAGUUUUUACUUGGUUUUACUUGUGUGUUGCCUGUGUUAUCCACAUAUUAGAUUUAAGACUUAAGUUUUGACUUGGUUUUACUUGUGUGUUGCCUGUGUUAUCCACAUUAGAUUUUAGACUUAAGUUUUGACUUGGUUUUACUUGUGUGUUGCCUGUGUUAUCCACGUAUUAGAAUUAGCAUUGGUAUCUUCCACCUCCUUAUUCCAACAUUUUACAGAAAUUUCAGAACCUACCAACUUAGAUGACACAUCGUCGCUACCAAACCUAUCAACUUAGAUGACACAUCGUCGCUAUCCAAACCUAUCAACUUAGAUGACACAUCGUCACUAUCCAAGGCUUACGAUCCAGUAGAGAGGAGGGGCUAGAUCGUAAACCUUGGCUAGCCGGAAGAUGAAGAUGACAUUACUACAUACAAAACAAGGAUCUGACAACACACUUUGUUACUUUCAGUUCAUCAUUGAAUCAAAUGUUAGUCUUCAAAUUUUGUAAUGUAGAACUAAGUGAAGCGCGUCCGCAGGAUUUUGCACAAAACUCAGAGUAAAAAAAAUCACUGUUCCGAUGUCCACCAUCGCUUCUCACAUUUUAUUUGUAAAAAGACUGCAAUAUUUUACGGUAAUUUAGUCCUUUUCAUAAAUAUCUGACUAAAAUGCCGUGAGCGCUCUCACACUACAGUUUCCCAAUAUGAUUUACCCUUCUAAAUAACUUCUAUAAAAAAAAGUUGAUUGACAAUCUUAUCGGAACUCAUCCAAUUCAUAUGAACCUUUGAUAUAGAUUUAUAUAAAUUUAAAAAAGAAAAUGUAUGUAAGAGUAUCCCUUUUAAUACGGUAAGGACAGACAGGCGGACACCCGGUAUAGACAGUUUAAAAGCCCCGCUCCGUAUUUCAGCGGAGUAAAGUUCAAUAAUUUGAUAGUUAUGUAUACAUAUGCCAGUUUUGAAUUUUUUUUUUUAUCUAUAUUCUAUUAUUGUAAAUUUUUUACAAAAAGUGACAUAAUUGAUUUUUAAAUAUUCGGUCGAUUAUUGAAGACAAGAAUUCCGGGAAGACUGUUAUUGCAAAUGUAUUCCAAAUAAUUUAAUACCAUUAUGAUAUAAAAACGUAAACUCAUAAAACACAAUUUAUCUAACAACAAAAAAUAAAAAAAAAAUAAGUUGAAGAAAAACCAAAUAAUAUAGAAGUUCCGCAGAAAACCCAUAUUUGUAAUUUCCCAUCUCCUGCGGAUAAUAAAAUGAACUUGUGAUAACGGCAUUAAUUAUUUACCAUACUUUUAGAAUUAUUGAAAGAUUUUAAUACAGCAUAGCAUGUCAAUAGCUUUCAGUAUGUUCUAACUGAAUUAACUUAGGAUGGUGUGAAAGUCAAAUUAAAUGAACCGAGUGUACAUGUAGUAGACUCGAUCGUAAACAUGUAAACGUUUUGCAUAUUACUUUUUCAAUUGUAAUUGUGAUUAUGCAUCGAUUUCAGAUAGAUGAACAAAAUGUAAGGAAAGAUGAUUGUUCCCUGUCAACUAUGAUUCAGGCACCCGUUAGUAAGUAAUUUUUAUAUUUUUAUUUUCUUACAUUACCG